RNAcentral lists this ribosomal RNA (497 nucleotides) under uncultured bacterium. RNAcentral's name for it is "partial 16S ribosomal RNA". It matches the Rfam family "Bacterial small subunit ribosomal RNA", at positions 28 to 507 of the family's 1533-position model. The record is from RNAcentral.
GAUGAACGCUGGCGGCGUGCCUAAUACAUGCAAGUCGAGCGAACAGACGAGGAGCUUGCUCCUCUGACGUUAGCGGCGGACGGGUGAGUAACACGUGGAUAACCUACCUAUAAGACUGGGAUAACUUCGGGAAACCGGAGCUAAUACCGGAUGAUAUAUUGAACCGCAUGGUUCAAUAGUGAAAGACGGUUUUGCUGUCACUUAUAGAUGGAUCCGCGCCGCAUUAGCUAGUUGGUAAGGUAACGGCUUACCAAGGCAACGAUGCGUAGCCGACCUGAGAGGGUGAUCGGCCACACUGGAACUGAGACACGGUCCAGACUCCUACGGGAGGCAGCAGUAGGGAAUCUUCCGCAAUGGGCGAAAGCCUGACGGAGCAACGCCGCGUGAGUGAUGAAGGUCUUCGGAUCGUAAAACUCUGUUAUUAGGGAAGAACAAAUGUGUAAGUGACUAUGCACGUCUUGACGGUACCUAAUCAGAAAGCCACGGCUAACUACGUG